RNAcentral lists this ribosomal RNA (253 nucleotides) under uncultured bacterium. Its description in RNAcentral is "partial 16S ribosomal RNA". It matches the Rfam family "Bacterial small subunit ribosomal RNA", at positions 524 to 776 of the family's 1533-position model. The record is from RNAcentral.
UACGGAGGGUGCAAGCGUUGCUCGGAAUUACUGGGCGUAAAGCGUACGCAGGCUGUUCACUAAGUCGGGUGUGAAAUCCCGGGGCUCAACCCCGGAAUUGCGCCCGAAACUGGUGAGCUUGAGUGCGGGAGAGGGAAGCGGAAUUCCUGGUGUAGAGGUGAAAUUCGUAGAUAUCAGGAGGAACACCGGUGGCGAAAGCGGCUUCCUGGCCCGACACUGACGCUCAUGUACGAAAGCGUGGGGAGCAAACAGG